This 47-nucleotide transfer RNA is filed under the name Terebralia semistriata. RNAcentral's name for it is "partial tRNA-Thr". The record is from RNAcentral. Lineage: Eukaryota; Metazoa; Mollusca; Gastropoda; Potamididae.
GCGUUGGUCUUGUAAACCAAAGGUUGGAUUAAAACAUUCCCAUUUGC